CGCCCAUGAUGAGCCCGGUGAUGCUAACCACCCAAAGCACCUCGUAUCAAUGCCUUCGGGCUGCGAGCUUGGUGUGGAGCGUGGGACCCGACCCGGUAGUAGUCAAGCGAU
RNAcentral lists this ribosomal RNA (111 nucleotides) under Pimelobacter simplex. RNAcentral describes it as "23S ribosomal RNA". Lineage: Bacteria; Bacillati; Actinomycetota; Actinomycetes; Propionibacteriales; Nocardioidaceae. The record is from RNAcentral.